AUGGAAAACCACACAGCUUGUCUUCCUGCUGCAUCUCCUGGUGGGCUCAGCGGGCGGAGGAACCUGCCGGGUCGCGCCUCUGUUUCCAACCAUGACUCACACAUCGUCCGCCCUGAAGCCGGGGCGCGCCCUCCCGGGGUGCGGGAGGCGGUGCACGCAGCCAGGACCCAGGGCCCACCCAGGGCCGUACCACUCACGGCAACAGGGACCCGGGUGCCCGGGGUCUGUGCCCGUCGAGCGGCUCCAAGACGGGAAGAGGACGAGGCCCAGCGCAACCACCGCCCUGCGGCCCCCACGGGGUCCCUGGGGACCGCCGCACCCACCUGGGCCGCCCGGCUCACCCCGCCCAGCCUCCGCACCCGGCCCGGCCCCCAGCACACCCACCCGGCCCGGCCAGCCCCCGGGCGCGCCCCCCCCCGCCCGCCCCCAGCCCUCGGGGCGGACCGAACCCGCGCGGCACGUCCCCCCCCCCCCCCCCCCCCCCCGCCUGUCCCGGUCCGACCCGGGGCGGCCGCGCCUGCGCACCAGCGCCUCCCCCAGCUCCGCCGUGGCCCCCCUCCCCGGGCCGCACACGCGGCGCCCAGCCCACAGCCAGCGAGCCCCGCUGGGCUCCCGGGGCCGCCAAGGCAGGACAGCCCUGCAGGCGGCGGUGGGCGCGGCCCCUCCCGGAGCCGACGGGCAGGGCGAGGCAGGGCUCCGGUCGUCGUGCCGCCUUCCGAGGAUGUUGUCAGUGUGAACGCCCAGGUGACGUGGCCGAACCGACGGCUGCACGGGAGAAGGAGGCCGCCCCCCAGGAGCCGCGUCCCCGGAGACACCCGCCCCAGGAGACACCCCCCGGAGACGCCCCACCAGGAGCCGCCCCCACAAGCGGCCGAGGCCCCGGGGAGCCGCAGAGCCUCCCGACGGGACGCGCUGGACAGCGAGCGGGGCAGGGCCGCCCACCUCCGGCCACCCCCGGGAGGCCCGCAGACGGAGCCCAUGCACGGGAGGAGGGCACCGGACCCCGCGGACCAGCUCCCAGGCACCCCGGCUGCUUCUCCACUGGGAAACCCAGGGAUGCUACAGUGA
RNAcentral lists this long non-coding RNA (1068 nucleotides) under Canis lupus familiaris (dog). RNAcentral's name for it is "lncRNA (ENSCAFG00030014529.1)". Lineage: Eukaryota; Metazoa; Chordata; Mammalia; Carnivora; Canidae. The record is from RNAcentral.